CUCUCAACCUGUUCUGCAAAUUCUCACCAAAGGUGCAGAUUCUUCUUUGUGGCUCGUACCUCCAUUUUAUGCCCCUGGAAGUGUGGUAGAUAUUCAGGGCACACAGGACAUCUUCAAUUCCCUUCAUCAUCAACACUCUUGUCAAAGAGAAGCUUCUACUAACCUCUGCUGCGUAUACAUGCUGCUACUUGCAUUCGGAAAACACUGCCCCCCCCCCUCUUCUGGGCCUGGCCAACUACUCGAGGUAAGAGCCACCCAUGUAUUCCCAUAGUUCCAUGCUCAGAUUGGCCAUACUGUCAUUUCCUGUGAAGUUUGUGCUUUUCCACUAAACUGGAGGAGAAAGAACAUAUGUUUCAUUAAUAGUUUAUCCCCAUUCCCAAAACAGGCCAUAAUUUCCCAAAACAGUCCAUAACAAGCACACAGUAGAUAUUUGGCAGUCACUUAGAAGUCUGCUAUGAGAUACUCCUUAGAAUCACGAUGCUGGAGUAAAAGUCGUAUGUGAGGUUGAACCCAUUCUGACCCCCAUAGAGAGGCAGAGGAAACUGACUUGUCCGCUAAUGACAUAUGCAGGUUGGGGUGAUUUUACGUCCAUUGUUUUCAUCAUGUCCAGGUCCCCAGGCAGGGACGAGAGAAUUCCGGUUGCUGCCUUCUUCAGACAGAAGCCAUGUAUUAACCCUUCAGCCAGAAAUCAACAAGAAGUUCUGGUUUCACAUGUAAAUUUCAACUUCACCGAGAUGGUCUUGAGAACACACAGAAAAGACUGCGGCCAAGGGCUCCAGAUGGCCUGGGGCAGCUUGAGGCGUAUGUGGAUCAAGGGCACCCCUCUUCAUGGAGUGGCCGCAUCUUUGGCAUGGGGACGGGCGGAAAACAAGCUUCACCUGCUUCCUGCCUGGUGUGUGGUCAGUGCCUGAGGACCCUGGGCCAUUUGAGCUUUAUUUAGUGACCGGGAUGACUCAUUCCCCAAAUCGCAGAAAUACGGGUUUUCCGUGGCAGUCAGCAUUUCUGGUUUCUGAUCCCGAGGAGAUUCCAUGGGCAUUAACACUGGCCAGAAGAAAACCGUGCAGCACCAGGGGAGCGUGACUUCCCUUUCCUUACGGAGGGCAAGCGAUGCAAGUGAGGAUUUCAGUAUAACAAAGAGGUAAGUAGCAGUUCAUAUGUUCAAGUGAGUCCAGAGCAAAUAUGCAAUUUGUAAUUAGUGAGCGGACGACCUAGUCACUGCUUUUUAUUUGAAGAGAUCUGGGUUCCUACAGGAAACAAUCUCUGAGUUUGGGAAGGACCAGACAUGAUCAUCUCCACCAAACCUAAGAAACGUACCAAGAAGCCCCCUCGUUCCUUUGGUCCAAAGUAUGUGGGGCUGUGGAAGAGGCAAGCCAUAAACGCUGCUACAAAUUUUGACACCAAAGGAUUUUUUUCUAUCAUAUAUUGACAGUGGUCAGUCCUAUGCUGUUAUUUUAUACUCACAUUUCUCUGUAGACAGCCUUUAGAUGAGACUGCCCUUUAUUUCAGAUGCUCCUUAGAUCUCUAUGAAAACAGUGAUAAAGUUAUGAACCAUAGACUUCCAAGAAAUCUACUGAGCCUGGGAAAUGUAGAGAAAAAGGCACUGAGCUGGGUGUUACUGUAAAAGGUUUUUGAGAAUGUUUUAUCCAUUGGAAAGUAAGUGGGCUGGUGCUUAAAAAGUAUUUCACUUCCAAAUUGCCUUAGUAUGGACGUAUGUUUCUAUGUAACGUGCCAGAGUAUUCUGUUUUUGAAAAAUGCAUAUUUAUUUUUGAGACAGAGGGGAGGGGCGGAGGAGAGAGAGGGGGACAGAGGAUCUGAAGCAGCGCUGACAGCAAAGUCUGACGCUGGUCUCAGACCCACGGACCCGUGAGAUGCUCACUUGAGCCAGUAUCAAGAAUCAGACGCUUAUGCUACUGAGCCACUCAGGCGCUCCCACCCCCGUUUUUGAAUGUUUAUUUUUGAGAGUAGAGUAGUCUUUUUAAGGCAUAGGCAUUAUGUUUGUUUUGCUUAAAGCCCCGCAAGUGUUUCCUCGUUUUGCUUAAAACCCGAGCCCCCUCAGUGUGGGUUUGAAGGCCAAGUGGGGUCUGGCCCCCGCCUGCCUU
This 2099-nucleotide long non-coding RNA is filed under the name Felis catus (domestic cat). RNAcentral's name for it is "lncRNA (ENSFCAG00000041150.2)". Lineage: Eukaryota; Metazoa; Chordata; Mammalia; Carnivora; Felidae. The record is from RNAcentral.